UAGGGAAUCUUCGGCAAUGGACGAAAGUCUGACCGAGCAACGCCGCGUGAGUGAAGAAGGUUUUCGGAUCGUAAAACUCUGUUGUUAGAGAAGAACAAGGACGUUAGUAACUGAACGUCCCCUGACGGUAUCAAACCAGAAAGCCACGGCUAACUACGUGCCAGCAGCCGCGGUAAUACGUAGGUGGCAAGCGUUGUCCGGAUUUAUUGGGCGUAAAGCGAGCGCAGGCGGUUUCUUAAGUCUGAUGUGAAAGCCCCCGGCUCAACCGGGGAGGGUCAUUGGAAACUGGGAGACUUGAGUGCAGAAGAGGAGAGUGGAAUUCCAUGUGUAGCGGUGAAAUGCGUAGAUAUAUGGAGGAACACCAGUGGCGAAGGCGGCUCUCUGGUCUGUAACUGACGCUGAGGCGCGAAAGCGUGGGGAGCAAACAGG
RNAcentral lists this ribosomal RNA (429 nucleotides) under Gemmatimonadota bacterium. RNAcentral describes it as "Gemmatimonadetes bacterium partial 16S ribosomal RNA". It matches the Rfam family "Bacterial small subunit ribosomal RNA", at positions 355 to 776 of the family's 1533-position model. The record is from RNAcentral. Lineage: Bacteria; Pseudomonadati; Gemmatimonadota.